This 219-nucleotide ribosomal RNA is filed under the name uncultured bacterium. RNAcentral describes it as "partial 16S ribosomal RNA". It matches the Rfam family "Bacterial small subunit ribosomal RNA", at positions 1282 to 1500 of the family's 1533-position model. The record is from RNAcentral.
GCCGUCCCAGUUCGGAUCGCAGGCUGCAACCCGCCUGCGUGAAGUUGGAAUCGCUAGUAAUCGCGGAUCAGCAUGCCGCGGUGAAUACGUUCCCGGGCCUUAUACACACCGCCCGUCACACCAUGAGAGUCGGGAACACCCGAAGUCCGUAGCCUAACCGCGAAGGGGGCGCGGCCGAAGGUGGGUUCGAUAAUUGGGGUGAAGUCGUAACAAGGUACC